This 312-nucleotide ribosomal RNA is filed under the name uncultured Glomus. RNAcentral describes it as "SSU rRNA". It matches the Rfam family "Eukaryotic small subunit ribosomal RNA", at positions 570 to 886 of the family's 1831-position model. Lineage: Eukaryota; Fungi; Glomeromycota; Glomeromycetes; Glomerales; Glomeraceae. The record is from RNAcentral.
GCAGCCGCGGUAAUUCCAGCUCCAAUAGCGUAUAUUAAAGUUGUUGCAGUUAAAAAGCUCGUAGUUGAAUUUCGGGAUUAGUACGUUGGUCGUGCCUUUGGUAUGUACUGAUGUUACUGAUUCCUCCCUUCUGACGAACCGUUAUGUCAUUUAUUUGGUGUGGCGGGAAAUCAGGACUGUUACUUUGAAAAAAUUAGAGUGUUUAAAGCAGGCUCGCGCUUGAAUACAUUAGCAUGGAAUAAUGAAAUAGGACGUUUGAUCCUAUUUUGUUGGUUUCUAGGAUCGACGUAAUGAUUAAUAGGGAUAGUUGGG